GCAAAAGCCCGUUAGAUACGAGAGGCCCAGCAGCUCAGCCCAAAUGGAGUCACCGACCACAGUACCACCGACCUCGACGACGACGAACUAACGGUCCCGGCGCCGGCACCGGCGCCUUUCCAACAGGGAGAGAGAGGCGCAGCCGGCUCCUACUAGGAGCACCUCGCGGCGCCGGAGACUGGAGAGAAGGAGGUCUCCUUUGCGCGCGAGUGGCGGCAGACCAGGUCCAGAUAAGAUUGAUGCCAGUGGUGGAGCUGAAUAUGAUGAUUGAUCCCCUACUGGAUCUGCACUGAAGAAAUUGUAAUCUAUGGAAGUUUCUACGGUCAUUGUACCUUCCAGUACCUUCACUACUGUUGACAUCAAUGGCCUUCGACUGCUAUCAUGUUGCAAGCACCACAUUGCAAGCUUCAUCAUCUGAAUAACUUUGUCCUGGUGUGUGACCAUGUCAUGACUUUGUUUGUCAAUCAUAUCAAUCAACUGGUUGUUUUGAGCCUUUUCUUGUAACAAAUUGAUCAGAUGGAUGCUUUCCUCAGGCUGAGAAUGAUCGAUAUUUUUUCUUCCACAUAUUACUUCCAUGACAACAACUCCAAAGCUGUAAAUAUCAACUUUUUCAGUGAUUUGCGAUGUUAACCAUUCAGGUGCCAGAUAUCCAGUAGUUGAAGAAGGGGAAGGGCUAAGCUGCACCUUGAGGUAAGCAGAGGAGUUGUAAUGAAGAAUCUGAGGUUGUCUUGAUUGCAAGGAGAAAACCCGCGUGACCCAUAGGCAGUUACCAUUGGACUCGUUGUCGGCGUAUGUGAACAUCACAGCCUCGCAGGAGCAGUUUUUCAGGCACUCUUGCUUACAGUCAUCGUUGGUUCUAGCAUUUGCAAUGAUGUGGCUUGCAUUUAUAUCAAAGUAUGAAACAUCUUUUAGGGUCAAGAGUUCAUGGUGUUGAAUUUCUUGACAGGAGAUUGGAGUCAGAGGGAUGCAACCAAUGUUCGGCUUCCUCCCGUCGAUUAGCUUGAAGUAGCUUGAAGUGGAGUUACUCUGGAAGGGGCAGCUGCAUUGCCCUCCUGUGCAUACCCCAUACUCCCCACAAACUGUUGGGAAAGCACAGUCAUCAUCAGGAAACAUCUCGAUGACAUUGGACACCACGACCCACUUUCCUUCAGAUCAUUCAUACAGCCUCAGGUGUCCGUCAUUCUCAAAUCUCAUGUACUGGGUAGACUUCGCUGCUGGCAAGGGGAUGCUUGAAUAUGGAUCUGGCGUGGAUUGCACCAAGAUACUGAAGCUGCCAUUCGUUAAGGUAAACUGUGUUGGACUGUUUCCUAUCUUGUUUUUGGGCACCAAAUUUUCGGUCACCAAAUUCGAGAAGUAGGGCUGUGGUGGUGUGGAAUCAACAUAGGCAUACAAUCCAUCAUGGAGGUCAGUUAUAUACAGCUGAUUCUGUGUCCAGUUUGUUGCAGAUGUAUUUGCAGUGAGCCUCAUGCCUUCCAGUAGUGACUGCCCAGGGACCAGUGCAUCAGUCGGAUGUUCAAACGACUGCCAUACUAUUGCAUUCUUCUGAUCAAACAGCACCAGGUUGCCCAGGUCUGUGAUCAUCAUGCCAGCAAUGGACCUGCCUGCAGUGCCACUCGACCAGACACCAGCGCCAUCAGCAUCACGGAGGAUCAGGUUGCCAUCCCCUGUAAGCUCGAGGGUGGCGUUCUCCUUAACAGGGUGGACCCGGUUAGCGGACCAGACCACCUGCGGAAUGCCAUUGACUACAGAGGUGAUGCCGGCACCGCUGUUGGUGUAGACGAUGAAGACAGCGAACAAGAAAGCACUGUUGUCACAGGGUGCGGAGGGACAGAAGAACCCUGCGGCGAAAGAAGGACCAUAGAAGGUGGUCUUUGGUGACCGAAGAAUAAUGGCCCGUACGACUGAGUCAUCGGUGUAGGUGACAGUGUGCUUGAGAGAGGCGUUGUUGUUGGUCCAAAGCGUUGAGAGGUUGGCCGUCGGGUAGUCGAAGAAGGUCCGCCCGGUGAUCAACAGAGUUGCAAUUGCAAGCAGGAGGAAGACGAGAUUGGAAGGCGCCAUGGCACGGCAGCUGCUAAUUGAAGGUAUUGUGGAGACGGUUUUGUGAUUCAGUUACAGUCUUGAUGUGAAGCCAGCAAGAGCUGAGGGCUGGGUGUUACAGAGAUGAGCUUACAUACAGCGAAGAAGAACUCACCUGACCACAGGCUCGACGGAGCGGCUCUAGUCGAUGGCCGGAGGUGCUGCCGGCAUGGAUGGAGUUUGCCUGCCAGCCUGGGGCAUUGAGAUAGCACUCAACCAGUCUUCUUCUCCCUUUGCAUAUUUGUUCGUUCACAUCAUGAAGCUAAGAACCCCACUUUGAGUGUUUGCCUGCCAGCCUCGGGCACUGAAAAGGAAGAAGUAGACAACCAUAACCACACCAUGGGCCACGGCACGCUAUGUUUUGAUAGCUGUAUUGGUUUGAGACUUGGAGCGCACCAAGGUCACCAUCCACUCUGGUGCAGGCGUGCAGUGGCUAUGCCCAUCGAAGACAUGGCCGGAGUAGUCUAGAUAGUCAACCAACUUCGUCCAGCAUCAACAUUUUAGUUUGAAGAUACGAUCUAAGACAGCACGGAAAGUACUAUGUAGAUGAAAUCAUAUAUUUAUCUUUUUUUUGUUAUAUUAUUAUAAUGGAAUAUCAUAGUCAAAGUUAUAUUCUGGGUAUAGAAAUUACUGAAACUGAAGGGACUAUCUUAUAGGCUGUUAAGUUGAUGGAAUCUUUGUAUGUUGCUGCUGUCCGAAGUCGAUAUAUUAAGCCGAUGUAAUCCUUGUUUGUUGCUGCUCUUCGCAGUUAUACUUUGAAGAUGCUUUGCAAGAGUUUUGCUUUGACCUUUUC
Molecule: long non-coding RNA, 2869 nt
Organism: Sorghum bicolor (sorghum)
Lineage: Eukaryota; Viridiplantae; Streptophyta; Magnoliopsida; Poales; Poaceae
Exons: 3
Source: RefSeq, a predicted model, not a curated record